RNAcentral lists this ribosomal RNA (477 nucleotides) under Porphyromonas gulae. RNAcentral describes it as "bacterial SSU rRNA". It matches the Rfam family "Bacterial small subunit ribosomal RNA", at positions 9 to 475 of the family's 1533-position model. Lineage: Bacteria; Pseudomonadati; Bacteroidota; Bacteroidia; Bacteroidales; Porphyromonadaceae. The record is from RNAcentral.
GAGUUUGAUUCUGGCUCAGGAUGAACGCUAGCGAUAGGCUUAACACAUGCAAGUCGAGGGGCAGCAUGAACUUAGCUUGCUAAGUUUGAUGGCGACCGGCGCACGGGUGCGUAACGCGUAUGCAACUUGCCUUACAGAGGGGGAUAACCCGUUGAAAGGCGGACUAAUACCGCAUAUACUUAUUCGGUUGCAUGACCGGGCAAGGAAAUAUUUAUAGCUGUAAGAUAGGCAUGCGUCCCAUUAGCUGGUUGGUGAGGUAACGGCUCACCAAGGCAACGAUGGGUAGGGGAACUGAGAGGUUUAUCCCCCACACUGGUACUGAGACACGGACCAGACUCCUACGGGAGGCAGCAGUGAGGAAUAUUGGUCAAUGGGCGAGAGCCUGAACCAGCCAAGUCGCGUGAAGGAAGACUGUCCUAAGGAUUGUAAACUUCUUUUAUACGGGAAUAACGGGCGAUACGCGUAUUGCUAUGAAUU